UGUAUAGGGAUUACCUACUUGCUUCAUGAAAACUGAUGCAAGAUCGACUAUGUCGUAUAAAGUUCUAGUCAGUACUAUGAUAAUGACAUUGUCUGGCUAUGUGUCUUGACCAAAUUACGUGCCAGCAGUCGCGGUAAUACGUAGAAGACUAGUGUUAUUCAUGUUUAAUCGGUUUAAAGGGUACCUAGACGGCAGAUCAAGCCUUCAGUAAAUAAAUAAAAAGGGACUAAUUUAGCUAGAGUUACUUAUGAGGAAGCUAUAAAGUACUGCUGGUGUAGAGAUGAAAUUCUGUCAUACCUCUUUUCGAUAGGAAAACGACGGCACAGGUAAAGGCGAAGGCGUCUUCUUAUGGGAUAACUGACGUUGAGGGACGAAGGCUUGGGUAGCGAACAGGAUAGAUACCCCAAUAGUCUAAGCAGAAAAUGAUGAAUGUCAUAGGUUAGAUAAUCGCUUUAUCCUAUAAAUGAAAGUGUAAGCAUUCCACCUCAAGAGUAAUUUGGCAACAUUGGAACUGAAAUCAUUAGACCGUUUCUGAAAACAGUAGUAAGGUAUGUUAUUUAAUUUGAUGAUCCACAAAGAACCUUACCACAAUUUGAAUACUUAGAUCCUUCACUUUACCUCCCGAAGCUUAGCCAGACCUAUCUUCCAUGAUCGUAAUAUUUGAGCCGCGGAAAGGUCAUCCUUAUGCAGUAUCAAUGAUUAGAUCCAUUUUGAAGCUUAGUGAUCUUAUCUUUGCCAGGUCAGGUAAGGUGGAUAUCUAUCUACAAGCGUUGCACGGCUGUCUUCAGUUAAUGUCGCGAGACUAUGGUUAGUUCCAUUAAAUUAACGUAAACCCUUGUCCUAGUUUAAUAUAGGAUAGUUCUCCGCUAUAUUGGAUGUGAUAAUAGGACUAAGACAAG
This 899-nucleotide ribosomal RNA is filed under the name Neuropogon antarcticus. RNAcentral describes it as "mitochondrial SSU rRNA". It matches the Rfam family "Bacterial small subunit ribosomal RNA", at positions 383 to 1189 of the family's 1533-position model. Lineage: Eukaryota; Fungi; Ascomycota; Lecanoromycetes; Lecanorales; Parmeliaceae. The record is from RNAcentral.